RNAcentral lists this ribosomal RNA (460 nucleotides) under uncultured bacterium. RNAcentral describes it as "partial 16S ribosomal RNA". It matches the Rfam family "Bacterial small subunit ribosomal RNA", at positions 338 to 795 of the family's 1533-position model. The record is from RNAcentral.
CCUACGGGGGGCAGCAGUGAGGAAUAUUGGUCAAUGGCCGUCAGUCUGAACCAGCCAAGUCGCGUGAAGGAAGAAGGAUCUAUGGUUUGUAAACUUCUUUUAUAGAGGAAUAAAGGUAUGCACGUGUGCAUAUUUGCAUGUACCCUAUGAAUAAGCAUCGGCUAACUCCGUGCCAGCAGCCGCGGUAAUACGGAGGAUGCGAGCGUUAUCCGGAUUUAUUGGGUUUAAAGGGGGCGUAGGUGGUUUGUUAAGUCAGUUGUGAAAGUUUGUGGCUCAACCAUAAAAUUGCUGUUGAUACUGGAAGUCUUGAGUACAGUUGAGGUAGGCGGAAUUCGUGGUGUAGCGGUGAAAUGCAUAGAUAUCACGAAGAACUCCGAUUGCGAAGGCAGCUUACUAAGCUAUAACUGACAUUGAAGCUCGAAAGCGUGGGUAUCAAACAGGAUUAGAUACCCCGGUAGUC